Molecule: non-coding RNA, 73 nt
Organism: Trichonephila clavipes
Lineage: Eukaryota; Metazoa; Arthropoda; Arachnida; Araneae; Nephilidae
Source: the annotation of a GenBank genome assembly
GUCCCUGUAACGCAAUGGGUAGCGCGUUGAAAUUCUUUUCCAACGGUCGUGGGUUCAAAUCCUAUCUGGGAUG